RNAcentral lists this ribosomal RNA (433 nucleotides) under uncultured bacterium. RNAcentral's name for it is "partial 16S ribosomal RNA". It matches the Rfam family "Bacterial small subunit ribosomal RNA", at positions 29 to 506 of the family's 1533-position model. The record is from RNAcentral.
AACGAACGCUGGCGGCAUGCCUAACACAUGCAAGUCGAACGAGACCUUCGGGUCUAGUGGCGCACGGGUGCGUAACGCGUGGGAACCUGCCCUUAGGUUCGGCAUAACUCCCCGAAAGGGGUGCUAAUACCGGAUAAUGUCUUCGGACCAACGAUUUAUCGCCUUUGGAUGGGCCCGCGUUGGAUUAGCUAGUUGGUAGGGUAACAGCCUACCAAAGCAACGAUCCAUUGCUGGGCUGAAAGGCAAGUCAGCCACACUGGGACUAAGGCAAGGCCACGACGCCGCAAGGAGGGAGACAGUGGGGAGUAGUGAGAAAUGGCGGAAGACGUCAACCAACAUGUCGCGUUAAGGUACUGAAUCUUUGGGGUUGAAAUACGCUUUAACCGGGCAAGAUAAAGACGAAACCGGGGGAAAAGCCCCGGAACAACCCCGC